GGCCACUGCUAUGGGGGUCCGACUAAGCCAUGCGAGUCAUGGGGCGCGCUCUGCGCGCACCGGCGGACGGCUCAGUAACACGUCGGUAACCUACCCUCGGGAGGGGGAUAACCCCGGGAAACUGGGGCUAAUCCCCCAUAGGCCUGAGGUACUGGAAGGUCCUCAGGCCGAAAGGGGCUUUCGCCCGCCCGAGGAUGGGCCGGCGGCCGAUUAGGUAGUUGGUGGGGUAACGGCCCACCAAGCCGAAGAUCGGUACGGGCCAUGAGAGUGGGAGCCCGGAGAUGGACACUGAGACACGGGUCCAGGCCCUACGGGGCGCAGCAGGCGCGAAACCUCCGCAAUGCGGGAAACCGCGACGGGGGGACCCCCAGUGCCGUGGCAUCGCCACGGCUUUUCCGGAGUGUAAAGAGCUCCGGGAAUAAGGGCUGGGCAAGGCCGGUGGCAGCCGCCGCGGUAAUACCGGCGGCCCGAGUGGUGGCCGCUAUUAUUGGGCCUAAAGCGUCCGUAGCCGGGCCCGUAAGUCCCUGGCGAAAUCCCACGGCUCAACCGUGGGGCUUGCUGGGGAUACUGCGGGCCUUGGGACCGGGAGAGGCCGGGGGUACUCCUGGGGUAGGGGUGAAAUCCUAUAAUCCCAGGAGGACCGCCAGUGGCGAAGGCGCCCGGCUGGAACGGGUCCGACGGUGAGGGACGAAGGCCAGGGGAGCGAACCGGAUUAGAUACCCGGGUAGUCCUGGCUGUAAAGGAUGCGGGCUAGGUGUCGGGCGAGCUUCGAGCUCGCCCGGUGCCGAAGGGAAGCCGUUAAGCCCGCCGCCUGGGGAGUACGGCCGCAAGGCUGAAACUUAAAGGAAUUGGCGGGGGAGCACUACAAGGGGUGGAGCGUGCGGUUUAAUUGGAUUCAACGCCGGGAACCUCACCGGGGGCGACGGCAGGAUGAAGGCCAGGCUGAAGGUCUUGCCGGACACGCCGAGAGGAGGUGCAUGGCCGCCGUCAGCUCGUACCGUGAGGCGUCCACUUAAGUGUGGUAACGAGCGAGACCCGCGCCCCCAGUUGCCAAUCCUCCCCGCUGGGGAAGAGGCACUCUGGGGGGACCGCCGGCGAUAAGCCGGAGGAAGGAGCGGGCGACGGUAGGUCAGUAUGCCCCGAAACCCCGGGCUACACGCGCGCUACAAUGGGCGGGACA
This 1180-nucleotide ribosomal RNA is filed under the name Thermococcus sp. Tc-4-85. RNAcentral describes it as "bacterial SSU rRNA". It matches the Rfam family "Archaeal small subunit ribosomal RNA", at positions 22 to 1197 of the family's 1478-position model. The record is from RNAcentral. Lineage: Archaea; Methanobacteriati; Methanobacteriota; Thermococci; Thermococcales; Thermococcaceae.